Molecule: transfer-messenger RNA, 349 nt
Filed under: Eubacteriales
Lineage: Bacteria; Bacillati; Bacillota; Clostridia
Also listed under: 1 other name
Description: SIG519 sp015067255 Standard tmRNA
Rfam family: transfer-messenger RNA
About the family: Bacterial tmRNA, also known as 10Sa RNA or SsrA, is named for its dual tRNA and mRNA-like properties.
Source: RNAcentral
GGGGGCGUAAAGGUUUCGACGGGGACUUUGAAGCCGGAUAAGCGGGUAGCUUUGCGAAAAGCUUAAAAAUCGCAAACUUUAAAUUUAAACGCUAAUAAUAAUAGAUUAGUAGCUGCCUAACUAAUGGCGGCCGUCGAUGCAGAGAGUACCGCGACUUUGUAAUCGGCGUCACUUAGCGGUGAACGUAGCCUUGGAAAGCUUUGCCCUUGCGCUAUGAAUUAUGAAGCUACCAAAAAAUAAAGUCUGUCAUUAGACGUUAUUUUAAGGGAAUGUAAAAUAAUGACUACACCCGUAGAAAGUCUUGUGAAUAGGUUUUCGGACAGGGGUUCAAUUCCCCUCGCCUCCACCA